This 1388-nucleotide long non-coding RNA is filed under the name Phasianus colchicus (ring-necked pheasant). RNAcentral's name for it is "lncRNA (ENSPCLG00000001367.1)". Lineage: Eukaryota; Metazoa; Chordata; Aves; Galliformes; Phasianidae. The record is from RNAcentral.
GAGUCUGAGAAUUUUAGUGAGUUCUUGGUUGCUGUGCAUGUUUUCUGCCAUUCUUCUUCUAUACACAAUCAACUUGCUCUUCUCCUAUUGCAUUUUCUCAAUUUUACUACAUAAACACAUCUUCUAUCAUAUUGUUUAUCCAUGCAUGGAGCAAGAAAAUAAUCUGACUGCACCAUUCUGGACCUCUUGACAUUUAGAGAGAGUUGGGAUUUAGACAUACCAUAGAAGAAGGAAUUGCACAAUUCAAGAUGAGAAGUGAUUAAGACAUGAACAAGGAUUUCAGCAGAAGCAAGGUCAAGGUAAAGAUGAACUCAAGCAGAAUUUCAUAGGUGGAAGUAAGCAAGAGGAUGAGAAAGACGGUCUGGUGCUAUGAAAAAGCCAUUUAUUGUUUUGAAUUUUGCACUGGUGGGAUAGAAAUGUAAAGAAAUGUAAUAUAUUUUAAUUAUGCUGUGCUAGCUAGGGCAUAGAGAUGCCAAAUGCUUAGUGACACAUUGCUGUAGUUUCCUGUGACUCCCUCUUACUUACAUAUUUUUUUCCUACUCUCAAUCCAUUUCUGUAUGUGGGAAAUGCCAGGCACUUGAAUUAAACAUUUUACAUGCUACAAUUAUAACAAAGAAAUUCAUAGCAAAUGACUGCUAAAAUUUUGUUUACUCUACUUGCUAGUGUCAAAGAAGUCUCCAUAGUAUCUUAUUCCCAAUGUCUGUUUGUGGGAAGAAGGAAUACUUGCUCAGAAAUCAUGUGCAGUUUCUAGGUCAGCUUUGUUUUGCAUUUCCUAUCAUCUCUCCACGCUCUUUAACGUGCUGAAUAGCUUGUAGGUGUUUGGUCUGCUGGUGAAAAAAGCUUAAGACCAGUCACUGAGAGAAUCCUCAGCCCCUGCAAUGGGGCAGCCUGCCAUGUGCUUGUGCUGUGGAGAGGAAUCUGAAAAGAGGAAUGGCAAGGUCAAAGUGCAAAUCUAUGGAAGUGGACAUCAAGGCUGACAGACUUUUCACAGUUUGGCACUGCCAGCUUUGGAGCUAUCUCCCUUUUUGUGUCAGUGAAGAUGAGCUGAUGUGCCUCAAGGGAUCAAGACUGUCAACCCUGACUCUGAUAGAUGGCUUCUUGGCCAGUGGAGCUAUGCAUCUUAUAGUCUCUGCAGAGCUCUAGACUCUCAGGAAUACCUUCCAGUCCAGGACAUUCUGUUUCCCUCUGUUGAGGAAUGGCACUUAGGUACAUGCUGUCCUGAAAUUAUAUACUCUCCUGAAUCAGAGCCCAGGUGAGAUGGAGCAGAAGGGUGGAUGAAGUAAAGGUUUGAUGUGCUGGUGACCUGGGAGUUGUGCAGAGAGGGCAGCAUGAAUAAUUUUGCUGGAACUCCAAGAAAAGCUACAGAGCCCAUUGGGACCAUAUGACUC